GACGAACGCUGGCGGCGUGCUUAACACAUGCAAGUCGAACGGAAAGGCCCUGCUUGCAGGGUACUCGAGUGGCGAACGGGUGAGUAACACGUGGGUGAUCUGCCCUGCACUUCGGGAUAAGCCUGGGAAACUGGGUCUAAUACCGGAUAGGAGCCAUUUUUAGUGUGAUGGUUGGAAAGUUUUUUCGGUGUAGGAUGAGCUCGCGGCCUAUCAGCUUGUUGGUGGGGUAAUGGCCUACCAAGGCGGCGACGGGUAGCCGGCCUGAGAGGGUGGACGGCCACAUUGGGACUGAGAUACGGCCCAGACUCCUACGGGAGGCAGCAGGGGGGAAUAUUGCACAAGGGGCGCAAGCCUGAUGCAGCGACGCCGCGUGGGGGAGGACGGCCUUCGGGUUGUAAACUCCUUUCGCUAGGGACGAAGCUUUUUGUGACGGUACCUAGAUAAGAAGCACCGGCUAACUACGUG
Molecule: ribosomal RNA, 465 nt
Filed under: uncultured bacterium
Lineage: Bacteria
Description: partial 16S ribosomal RNA
Rfam family: Bacterial small subunit ribosomal RNA
Source: RNAcentral